RNAcentral lists this ribosomal RNA (254 nucleotides) under uncultured bacterium. Its description in RNAcentral is "partial 16S ribosomal RNA". It matches the Rfam family "Bacterial small subunit ribosomal RNA", at positions 524 to 776 of the family's 1533-position model. The record is from RNAcentral.
UACGAAGGGGGCGAGCGUUGUUCGGAUUUACUGGGCGUAAAGGGCGCGCAGGCGGCUUAUUUUGUCAGGCGUGAAAGCCCCGGGCUUAACCUGGGAACUGCGUUUGAUACGGAUGGGCUAGAGUUCGGGAGAGGAGAGUGGAAUUCCCAGUGUAGAGGUGAAAUUCGUAGAUAUUGGGAAGAACACCGGUGGCGAAGGCGGCGCUCUGGACCGAGACGUGACGCUGAGGCGCGAAAGCGUGGGGAGCAAACAGG